This 497-nucleotide ribosomal RNA is filed under the name uncultured bacterium. Its description in RNAcentral is "partial 16S ribosomal RNA". It matches the Rfam family "Bacterial small subunit ribosomal RNA", at positions 28 to 507 of the family's 1533-position model. The record is from RNAcentral.
GACGAACGCUGGCGGCGUGCCUAAUACAUGCAAGUUGAGCGCUGAAGGUUGGUACUUGUACCGACUGGAUGAGCAGCGAACGGGUGAGUAACGCGUGGGGAAUCUGCCUUUGAGCGGGGGACAACAUUUGGAAACGAAUGCUAAUACCGCAUAAAAACUUUAAACACAAGUUUUAAGUUUGAAAGAUGCAAUUGCAUCACUCAAAGAUGAUCCCGCGUUGUAUUAGCUAGUCGGUGAGGUAAAGGCUCACCAAGGCGAUGAUACAUAGCCGACCUGAGAGGGUGAUCGGCCACAUUGGGACUGAGACACGGCCCAAACUCCUACGGGAGGCAGCAGUAGGGAAUCUUCGGCAAUGGACGAAAGGCUGACCGAGCAACGCCGCGGGAGGGAAGAAGGGUUUCGGAUCGUAAAACUCUGUUGGUAGAGAAGAACGUUGGUGAGAGUGGAAAGCUCAUCAAGUGACGGUAACUACCCAGAAAGGGACGGCUAACUACGUG